AGUAGUUUGCCAACCCCUAGUUUAGUAGCAAGACAAAAGAAGUUAUUUGCUAUGAGAUUAAAUAGAGAGUUUAAGCCAGAGACUAAUGCAGAACACCUACUGGAAAAGGAAAGGAAAGAGAGAGGAAGAUAAGAAUUUAUGAAAGAUCCUAAAAUAUAAACAGGAGCCCCAGCAGAUAACUUAGAAGGGUGGAAGGAAAAUUAUUUUUUCCUCCCUUACAAGGUGUUGUGGGUGGCCAAGAAAUGAGGAACAGCGUAGUGUUCAUCUACAAGGAAAUGAAGUCUCUGAACCUCAUCUUUGGACACAAUGUUCCAACCAGUUGUCUUAACCAAGUGCCUUGAAAAGAGAACAAGGUACCCUACGGGUGGUGUUGAGGCUGGUCCCCAACAUUGGUGGAAGAAGCACCUUUAUGGACCAGACAGCCAUGUACUCGGUCAGCCCCACUGCAGAUACGCCGGAAGGAGGUCCAAAAGCCGUUUUCAGGGAGAGGACUCUUUGCCCCUUGUUAGUUAAACCUUGGCAGACAUGCUGGGCAGGAAUGACAUACCCUAUGUGUAAGUACCUGGAAAACCCCACGGUGCUCCCACACACUCAACCGGAAGCAGCAUUUUCAGAUCUGCUCGUGCUGGUUCUUCUGCAUUAGUUGAUAGUCAGUUUAGAUUUCAGAUGUCACUGUCCCUGAAGGGCCUCCCCUGGUGCCUCAUAAAGGCCAAGAGACCACAAAAGUUGAAUGGCCAAGCCAGGCUGGCACGACGCAGUGCCCUAGCUAUCUCCUUUUCUGCUGCAGAAGCGCACUACCGGUGACGGGCAGUAGUGAGUGGGAGGGCCACCAUCUGAAAUGUGCUGCUCCUUUUGAUGAGUGGGUACUGUGUUUUUCUCUGCUUUUAGCUCCUAUUCUGAAGAAAUGAUAGUGAUUUUCACCCCAUCCCCGAUCAAACAGGACUGUGACUUACGUUUCCCAGUGUUCAUUGCUAAUUUCAUGCACCAUUAAGUUUUGUAGUCUCCCAUGUCCAUUAGACCUUGCUUCUCCCUCUGGGAUGUUGGGACAUUGUGGGGAGCAUAUUGUGAUAUGUUGGCAUGCUGGGGUGGGGGAGGCCACAGCUGACUUGGGAGAACUUGUCCCUUGGUGACACCCACCCACACUGAGCUUGAACUUCAGACAAGGGAAAUUGACUCUUACUCCACUCCCCACCCUCACCCCAUGGCAGCCUGGCUCACCAACCACAGCGAAGCCGGACUUGGCCUCUUGGUUCUUCUCAACACAGCUCCCCAGUCAGACACCACCAACUGAACUGAAUUGGCACUAUUUGGUAGUCUAGCCUGACUUAUAAUAACAAUUGAAAAAGAAAAGAUAAAUCUGUCCUCCAAACUGGAUUCAGUUAUCACACUAUUGCUCGGAUCUAUUGUAUCACUUGGAGCCCUGCGCUUACAGUGCUAUUCUGUGAAUUUCUUCUAACAACAAGAGUCUAUAAGGUGAGAGGGCCCCUUGUUCUUUCAAAGAGAAAGGAAAUGUCUCUUAAAGCAUCAUUUAAACUUAAAUUUUAAUGUUGUUUAAGCAUGGAGAAGUACAGAGAAGAAAACAUUUGAUGACCCACAUUCUUAUUGCCCAGCUCACUCCUGACUGUAUUAGAUAAUAAUUAUGACAUUAUAAUAGUUACACAUGCAUACGAGUAGAAAUUUUAAACAUGAAAGCAUAACACGACAAGUGCUAACUUCUAUUCCUUCCUUCCUAAUGAUAACAGCUAUUGAUUAUUAAUAGUUUUUCAUGGGUUCUACCAGAAAAAGUACAUGUAUGUUUAUAUUCUUUUCUAAAAGUUACCAAAAAGGGGGAAAAGGGUGAAGCGUACUCUACAAUAUGUUCUGCAGCUUGGUUUUUUUUCUUCUAACUGAAUUAUACAACUGGCAUUCUUUCCUGAUCCACCUCAUUCAUUCAUUCACAUGGUCUUCCAGCAUAUGGAUGUGCCAUAAUCCAUAAUAUGGAUGUACCAUAACUUAAUCAGUACUCUGUUAAUGGUAAAACAUCUUUUGAAGACUUCAGGGGGCUCAUUGACCCACUUGAACUGUUAUUCAUCAACAAAGGAGGAAGGACACCUAUUUCAUUCAUUCACUCAAAAUCCUGCAGCUCUAAAGAUUAUUCAACUUGGUCCACAACUUCUGGCAAAUACAACUACAAAGGAAAGCAUCAGCAGAGCUGGGGCUGGGGUGUGGUAUGAAUAAAGUCAUUUGCAAUGCACCAGAAUAAAGAUCCCUUGCAAUGAUCACGAGCUGUAAGCACUGACAGUCCUAGAAGACUUGGUCAUGUGAUAGACCAGGUAGCAUUGCCCGGAGUAACAUGAAGGCAGCAUUGCUUCACACAGAGACUUCAAACUAACAGUGUCUCCCAGAAGCCUUACAGCACUGAAAAUGCUUCACUGUAUUUUAUUCAUAAUGGAUAUAUUCACUAUAGAUGCUGAGUCUGCUAAGCCAGCUGUGUUUUCCUGUCACCAAGAUGCCUUGAUGCCAUCUUAAUAUACACAUAUUUAAAAAUUCUCCAUGGAAGAACAUCUUUACUUUGUCUAACUCUAAUUGUGCCAGGGAAUUGAAGUAGUCAGUUCAGAUAAUGCUGAAACUUAUUGACUACUUGUUAGUUCUGUGUCCUGGAGCCUGUGAUCUAACCAUUCUAAGCCUAUAAAAUGAAGGUAAUGAUGCCUACCCCAUAGGGUUGAUGGGAUGAUUAACUAGGAUAAUUUAUAUCUACAGAGAAACAUAUAUGGUGUGCCUCCACUUAUGUAGUUAAACAGCUAUCUCUGU
Molecule: long non-coding RNA, 2790 nt
Filed under: Homo sapiens (human)
Lineage: Eukaryota; Metazoa; Chordata; Mammalia; Primates; Hominidae
Description: HSALNT0329933
Source: RNAcentral